GGAUUAGAUACCCUGGUAGUCCGCGCCCUAAACGAUGUAUGCUUGGUGUUGGGCUCUUCGGAGUUCAGUGCCGUAGGAAAUCUGGUAAGCAUACCACCUGGGGAGUACGAUCGCAAGGUUGAAACUCAAAGGAAUUGACGGGGGCCCGCACAAGCGGUGGAUCAUGUGGUUUAAUUCGAUGCAACGCGAAGAACCUUACCCAGGCUUGAAGUGCAGGAAGUAUGGAGAUGAAAGUCGAAAGACCCGUUAAGUCGGGAACCUGCAGAGGUGCUGCAUGGCUGUCGUCAGCUCGUGCCG
RNAcentral lists this ribosomal RNA (297 nucleotides) under uncultured bacterium. Its description in RNAcentral is "partial 16S ribosomal RNA". It matches the Rfam family "Bacterial small subunit ribosomal RNA", at positions 775 to 1067 of the family's 1533-position model. The record is from RNAcentral.